Molecule: long non-coding RNA, 478 nt
Organism: Lepidothrix coronata (blue-crowned manakin)
Lineage: Eukaryota; Metazoa; Chordata; Aves; Passeriformes; Pipridae
Exons: 3
Source: RefSeq, a predicted model, not a curated record
CUGUCCCGGGGGUCGAUCCAGCUGGUCUGCUUGGUGUUGUGAUCGAUGUAGAACACUUUGCCGUCGUAAUCCCUUGCCUCCUCCCAGCCAUCGGAAGCAUCGGUGGAAAAUACACGUACACCAUGUGUGCCCUGAACCCUUGUGGCCUGAAAAGCAGGCAGCUAAGUCGCAUUAAGUAUAGAAACCAGGUGUGAGUUACUGUGUGUUUAUCUCGCAUUUGCCACAGGAGAAGAGUAUCCCAGGCCGGUUACCAUGGUUCAGCUGAUAGAAGGCUAUUUAUCUACUCCAUUAUAGCUGUCUAACAUUCAGCUCUACGAAUUCUUCUUCAGAGACAAUUUACACUUAUUAAGUCCUGGACUUGUUCAGUGCGUAACAAGUUUUUGGAUUCUUCUUCAGAGGCCACAUAUCUGACAGGCAUUGAAGUAACUAAUUUACAGCUCUCUAAGUCCUACUGUUGGAUCUGCUCCUAAAUAGAAAA